GCCAGUGGUAGUUUGAUAGGGAUUGCAUUGAAUCUGUAGAUUGCUUUGGGUAGUAGAGUCAUUUUCACAAUGCUGAUUCUUCCAAUUCAAGAACACGAUAUAUCUCUCCAUCUAUUUGUAUCAUCUUUAAUUUCUGUCAUCAGUCUUAUAAUUUUCUGCAUACAGGUUUUUUGUCUCCUUAGGUAGGUUUAUUCCUAGAUAUUUUAUUCUUUUUGUUGAAAUGGUAAAUGGGUGUGUUUUGUUCAUUUCACUUUCAGAUUGUUCAUCAUUAGUGUAUACGAAUGCUAGAGAUUUCUGUGAAUUAAUUUUGUAUCCUGCUACUUUACCAAAUUCAUUGAUUAGCUCUAGUAGUUUUCUGGAAGCAUCUUUAGGAUUCUCUAUGGAUAGUAUCAUGUUAUCUGCAAACAGUAACAGCUUUACUUCUUCAUUUCCAAUUUUUAUUCCUUUUAUUUCUUUUUCUUCUCUGAUUGCUGUGGCUAAAACUUCCAAAACUAUGUUGAAUAAUAGUGGUGAGAGUGAGCAACCUUGUCUUGUUCCUGAUGUUAGUUGGAAAUGCUUUCAGUUUUUCACCAUUGAAGACGAUGUUGGCUGUGGGUUUGUCAUAUAUGACCUUUAUUAUGUUGAAAAAAGUUCCCUCUAUGCCUACUUUCCAGAGGAUUUUUAUCAUAAAUGAGUGUUGAAUUUUGUCAAAAGCUUUCUCUGCAUCUAUUGAGAUGAUCAUAUGGUUUUUCUCCUUCAGUUUGUUAAUAUGGUGUAUCACAUUGGUUGAUUUGCAUAUAUUGAAAAAUCUUUGCAUUACUGGGGUAAACCCCACUUAAUCAUGGUGUAUGAUCCUUUUAACGUGCUGUCAGAUUCUGUUUGCUAGUAUUUUGUUGAGGAUUUUUGCAUCUAUAUUCAUCAGUGAUAUUGGCCUGUAGUUUUCUUUCUUUGUGACAUCUUUGUCUGGUUUUGGUAUCAGGGUGAUGGUGGCCUUGUAGAAUGUGUUUGGGAGUGAUCCUCCCUCUGCUAUAUUUUGGAAGAGUUUGAGGAUAGGUGUUAGCUCUUCUCUAAAUGUUUGAUAGAAUUCACCUAUGAAGCCAUCUGGUCCUGGGCUUUUGUUUGUUGGAAGAUUUUUAAUCACAGUUUCAAUUUCAGUGCUUGUGAUUGGUCUGUUCAUAUUUUCUAUUUCUUCCUGGUUCAGUCUCAGAACAUUGUGCAUUUGUAAGAAUUUGUCCAUUUCUUCCAGGUUGUCCAUUUUAUUGGCAUAGGGUUGCUUGUAGUAAUCUCUCAUGAUGCUUUGUAUUUCUGCAGUGUCAAUUGUUACUUCUCCAUCUUCAUUUCUAAUUCUAUUGAAUUGAGUCUUCUCUCUUUUUUUCUUGAUGAGUCUGGCUAAUGGUUUAUCAAUUUUGUUUAUCUUCUCAAAGAACCAGCUUUUAGUUUUAUUGAUCUUUGCUAUUGUUUCCUUCAUUUCUUUUUCAUUUAUUUCUGAUCUGAUCUUUAUGAUUUCUUUCCUUCAGCUAAGUUUGGGGUUUUUUGUUCUUCUUUCUCUAAUCGCUUUAGGUGUAAGGUUAGAUUUUUUAUUUGAGAUGUUCCUUGUUUCUUUUGUUUUUGUUUUUGUUUUUGCAGUACGCGGGCCUCUCACUGUUGUGGCCUCUCCCGUUGCAGAGCACAGGCUCCGGACGCGCAGCCUCAGCGGCCGUGGCUCACGAGCCCAGCCACUCGCGACAUGUGGGAUCUUCCUGGACCGGGGCACAAACCCGUGUCCCCUGCAUCGGCAGACGGACUCUCAACAACUGCGCCACCAGGGAAGCCCUGUUCCUUGUUUUUUAAGUACACGGGUCUCCCAUUGUUGUGGCUUCUCCCAUUGUGGAGCACAGGCUCCGGACGCGCAGGCUCAGCAGCCAUGGCUCACGGGUCCAGCUGCUCUGCGGCAUGUGGGAUCCUCCCUGACCGGGGCACAAACUCGUGUCCCCUGCAUCGGCAGGCGGACUCUCAACCACUGCACCACCAGCUGGGAGGUCUCUGGUGGACCAAUGUCCUGAAAUCGCCUCUCCCACCUCAGAGGCACAAGCCUGACACCUGGACGGAGCACCAAGACCCUGUCAGCCAUACGGCCAGGAGAAGCCGGCUGCCAUGACAUGAGAAUGCUCAAGCUUCACUAGGGGAAAGUUAACAUGGCAAGAACCUGAGGCCUCCUGCCAAGGGGCAAGGAUGAAACUGGGGUUUUCUGUCAACAGUCAGCCUUAAGAUGAUCACAGUCCUUGCUGACAUCUUAACUGUAACUUCAUGAGAGACCCUGAGCCAGAAUUACCCAGCUAGGCUGCUCCUGAAUUCCUAAACCACAGCAGAAAUUGUGAGAUAAGUGUUUAUUAUUUAAUCUUCUAGAUUUGGGGGCAAUUUCUUACAUAACAAUAGGUAACUAAAAUACUGACAGACCUUCCAAAUAAAGUGCCAAUUUUGUUCAGAAUAAAUUAAUAAAAUGAAUAUCCCAAUUAUCCUAUGGUUUUCCAGAAGUAGUUAUGUAAUAAAUAGUUCAUAACAAUACUAUUGUCACAUAGUAAGCUUAAGAAUAAUAUUAUUUGUUGAGUAUUUAAUAUGUACUAUGAAUUUUACCAGUGAAAAAACUUAGCCUUUGAGUACUAUGCCUAAUCUAUUAAGAGUAACUAGCUUUUGAAUUCAUGUCCCUCUAAGUACACAUCCCACGCACUUAACUAUUCUCUUACUCUGCAAGACCUUCAAAUUUUUGAAAACUUUGUCUCUGUUUAUUUCUUUUAUUUCUAGACUAUCUCAAGUUCCUUUGAUCUUUUCUCUUUCAGUCUUCUUACUAUCCUAAUCUACUUCCUCUGAAUGCACUUAAGUUUGACAAUGUUCCGUUUAACAUUUAGUCCCCAGAAUUGAAAACAAUAAUGUGAUAUGAUCAGUACAAAGUAUCAUAAGAUUAUUACUUCUCAUUAUUUACAAAAUGUACUCAUAGAUAAAGCCUGAGUUCACUAGCUACAUCACACCCUAGACUUGUAUUAAGACCAUGAUCAAUUAAAACUUGCAAGUCUUCCACAUGAACUGUGGCCAUAUGAAGAUUUCCUUCUUUAUCUACAUGCUGGCCUUUAAUUCAAUAGAGAUACUGCCAAGAAAAUAAAAAGGCAAGCCACAGACUGAAAUAUUUUUAAAACACAUAUCCAUCAAAGGAGUUUUAUCCAGAAUAUGCUAAGAACUCGUAUCCCUCAAUCUCUGUAAUAAUGAAAAGCAAAAACCAAUUUAAAAUGGGCAAAAUAUUUGAACAUGCACUUCUCCAUAGAAGAAAAAUGGAUGGCAAACUGGUAUACAUAAAAAGAUGCUCAACAUCAUUAGUCAUUAGUAAAAUAUAAUAUAAAACUACAAUUAAAUACCACUACACACAUACUAAAAUGGCUGAAAUUUAAAAGGCUGACCAUACCAAGUGUUGGUGAGGAUAUAGAGCAACUGGAAUGCUCAUACACUGCUGUUAAGAAUGUAAAAUGAUACAACUGUUGGCUGUUGUCCGAAUGGCCAUUGUUUUUCAUUGUUGGAAACAGUUUGGCAUUUUCUUAAAAAGUUAAAUAUUCACCUACCAUACAACCCAGCUAUUCUACUUCUAGGUAGUUACCAAAGAGAAAUGAAAGAAUUAGUCCACAAAAAGAUUUGUACAAAAAUGCUUAAACAGGAUCAUUUGUAAUAUCUCAGAUCAUUUGGAAGAUCAUUUGUAAUUGUAAUGGAUAAGCAAGUUGUGAUAUAAUGGAAUACCAUUCAGCAAUAAAUUAACUAUUGAUACAUGCAACAACAUGGGAAAAAAUCAAAAUAAUUAUGCCAAGUGAAACAAACUAGACAAAAAGUGCAAUAUUGUACUAUUCCACUAACAUAAAAUUCUAGAAAAUGCAAACUAAUAUUUCAUGACAGAAAUUAGAUCAGUGGGUGCAGUCAGAUAGGGCUGUAGAGUUGCAUAGGACUACAAAGUGGCAUGUGGAAACUUCUGAAAUGAAAGCGAUGAAAAUGUUUGUUUUCUUCAUUAUGGUGAUGAAUUCACAGAUUUAUACAUCAUCAGAUUAUGAAUUUUAAAUAUAUGCAGUGCAUUGUAUAUCAAUUAUAUCUAAUAAAUAAGUCUGUUUUUAAAAUAUAAAUGAGUUAGAUCUACCUAUACUAGCCUAGAAAGAGUCCACGAUGUCAGGGCAGCAUUAUUCAUAACAGCCAAAAAGUGGAAACAAUCCAGAUGUCCAGCAAUUGAUGGAUAAAUAAAUAAAAUAUGUUAUAUCCAUAUAGUGGAGUAUUAUUUAGCAAUAAAAGUUAUACUAUUUAGCAAUAAAAGAAGUACUGAUACUUCUUUUAUGCAACAUGCAUGCCUAGAGCUCAAUGCAUGCUCAGAAAAAGACCUGAGUGGACCCUAAGCUUGCACCUCUAAGGCUGAUCUUUAGGGUCUGCACAAGCAGGAAGUAAAAAGCUAAGACAGAAUUAGGUGGCCUGUCCAAGCACUGAAGGACUGUCUCUGCUCAGAGCCAAUCUGAGAAAAUAAGGAGAGUGUGGCGGGUUUUUUUUUUUUCUUUUUGGCUCCAGGCACUUAGGGAAAUCUCUGUCAGGUCACUAACUGACCACUGAUAUAAUGCAACAGAGAUUCAGUAACCACACACAAAUAAGAAAUAUAGUCUUUGCAAAAAGAGUAUGGGAAUGUCACUAGAGAAAUGGAUGAUUGUAGUCAUCAACAAGCCACAACAGCAAACUCUGGGGAGGGAGGAGAAUCUGCUUUCCAGAGUUAUAAUAUCAAAAUGUUCACUUUUUGACAAAAAAAAUCACAAGGUAUACAAAGAAACAGUAAAGUAUGGCCCAUUCAAAGGAAAAAGGUAACAGAAACAUUCCCUGAGGCAGCCCAGGCAUACUAGGCAGAGACUGUAAGUCAGCUAUCUUAAAUAUACUCAAAAGCUAAAGGAAACCAUGGGCAAAGAACUAAUAAAAAAAAGCAGAAGAACAAUAUAUGGAUAGAGAAUAUCAAUAAGGAGACAGAAAUUAUAAAAAGAAACCAAAUAGAAACUCUGGAGCUAAAAAGUACAAUAGCUAAAAUGAAAUUCAUUAGAAGGGUUAAGAGCAGACUUGAAUAGGCACAAUAAAGAUCAGCAAACUUGAAGAUAGGACAACAGAAAUUAUCCAGUCUGUGGAGCAGAAAGAAAAAGAAUGAAAAAAAUAAAAUUAACAGAGCCAAAGGGACUGUGGGACACCAUUAAAUAUCUCAUCACGUGAGAGUCCCAGAAGAGAAAAAGGGACAGAAAGAAUCUUUGAAGAAAUAAUGGCCAAAGACUGCCCAAAUUUAAUGAAAGACAUGAAUCUAUACAUCCAUGAAGCUCAACAGACUACAAGUAGGAUGAAGUCAAAGAGAUUCACACCAGGACACAUUAUAAUAAAACUGUCAAAAACUUGCUGAGAGAUUCAGCAAGCAGCAAGAGAAAAGUGACUUGACAUGUUCAAGAGCUUCUUAAAAAGAUUAACAGCCUAUUUGUCAUCAGAAAUCAUGGUAGCCAGAAGGCAGUGGAAUAACAUAUUUUAAAUGUUCAAAGGGAAAAAAAACUGUCACCCAAAAAUUCUAUACCUGGAAAAGCUAUUCUUCAAAAAUUAGGGAGGAAUUAAGACAUUCUAGAUUUUAAAAAAAGCUGAGGGAGUUCACUGCUAGCAAACCAGCCCUUUAAGAAAUGCUAAAGGGGGCUUCCCUGUUGGCACAGUGGUUAAGAAUCCGCCUGCCAAUACAGAAAAUGUGGGUUCAAGCCCUGGUCCAGGAAGAUCCCACAUGCCACAGAACAACUAAGCCCAUACGCCACAACUACCGAGCCUGCGCUCUAGAGCCUGCAUGCCACAAGUAUUGAAGCCCACGUGCCUAGAGCCCAUGCUCCGCAACAAGAGAAGCCACCGCAAUGAGAAGCCUGCACACCACAACGAAGAGUAGUCCCCACUCACCGCAACUAGAGAAAAGCCCAUGCGCAGCAACAAAGACCCAACGUAGCCAAAAAUAAAUAAAUAAAUAAAUAAUUUUUUUUAAAAAAAGAAAAAGAAAUGCUAAAGGGACUCCUUCGAGUGAGAGAGUGGCAUGGACAUAUAUACACUACCAAAUGUCAAAUAGAUAGCUAGUGGGAAGCAGCCUCAUAGCACAGGGAGAUCAGCUCAGUGCUUUGUGUCCACCUAGAGGGGUGGAAUAGGGACGGUGGGAGGGAGAUGCAAGAGAGAGGAGAUAUGAGGAUAUAUGUAUAUGUAUAGCUGAUUCACUUUGUUAUACAGCAGAAACUAACACACCAUUGUACAGCAAUUAUACUCCAAUAAAGAUGUUAAAAAAUUUUAAGAAUAAAGGGACUCCUUCAGGGAAAUGAAAGGACAUUAGACAAUAACUGAAAGCCAUAUAAAGAAAGCAAGAAUGCCAGUAGAGGUAACUACAUACGUAAGUGUAGAAGUCAGUAUUAUGAUAUUUUUGGUUUGUUACUCUUCUUUUGUUUCUUAUAUGAUUUAAAAUACAUAAAAUUAUUUAUUUAUAUACUAUUUGUAAAUAUAUGUUAAUAGGCAAUAAUGUAUAAUGACAUAAUCUGUGACAAUAACAAAAUAAAAUGGGGAGACAAAGC
Long non-coding RNA from Orcinus orca (killer whale), 6581 nucleotides. RefSeq lists it as uncharacterized. The transcript is spliced from 4 exons. Lineage: Eukaryota; Metazoa; Chordata; Mammalia; Artiodactyla; Delphinidae. The record is from RefSeq and is a predicted model, not a curated record.